AGUGAACGCUGGCGGUAGGCCUAACACAUGCAAGUCGAACGGCAGCACAGUAAGAGCUUGCUCUUACGGGUGGCGAGUGGCGGACGGGUGAGGAAGACAUCGGAAUCUACUUUUUCGUGGGGGAUAACGUAGGGAAACUUACGCUAAUACCGCAUACGACCUACGGGUGAAAGCAGGGGAUCUUCGGACCUUGCGCGAUUGAAUGAGCCGACGUCGGAUUAGCUAGUUGGCGGGGUAAAGGCCCACCAAGGCGACGAUCCGUAGCUGGUCUGAGAGGAUGAUCAGCCACACUGGAACUGAGACACGGUCCAGACUCCUACGGGAGGCAGCAGUGGGGAAUAUUGGACAAUGGGCGCAAGCCUGAUCCAGCAAUACCGCGUGGGUGAAGAAGGCCUUCGGGUUGUAAAGCACUUUUGUUGGGAAAGAAAAGCAGCAGGUUAAUACCCCGCUGUUCUGACGGUACCCAAAGAAUAAGCACCGGCUAACUUCGUG
RNAcentral lists this ribosomal RNA (492 nucleotides) under uncultured bacterium. RNAcentral describes it as "partial 16S ribosomal RNA". It matches the Rfam family "Bacterial small subunit ribosomal RNA", at positions 29 to 507 of the family's 1533-position model. The record is from RNAcentral.